CGACGUCAUGCGGCGGCGUGCGUAAGGCGAAUCCCCGCAAGACCGCCCCCACGGCGCGGAGACGGCCGGAUCACGUGAGGACUCCGUGGCGGCCCAACCCCGGCGGAAGGCUACGGCGCCUCUUGCUGGACGGAGGGAGUUCCAAAAAUUAGAGCUCGCGCUGCAGGGCAAAGAUUUUGUUUGAGAUCUCUCCAAAAACUCUUCGAGAGACCUCAAUUACAGGUUGUUAUGCUUUAGAGAAGUGAGCACUCUUGGCUACAUAACAUGCAGGAUCUUCGUUCCCUGACCAGGGAGUGAACCUGUGCCCCUGUGAUGGAAGUGCACUGGGAGUACAGUAGAAGUGGACCACCAGGAAAGCUUCUUGGCCUUUAUCUAAGAUCAAAAUAUUAAAGAAAAUUUGGGCUCAAGAUUAUCAUUAUUAUUUUUUGUUCACUCAAAUUUGCAUAAGGUACUUCAGUUGCCUUUGUACAAAGAUAAACAUCUUUACCUGAAGGCUUGAUGUGGUCCCCACCUGCCUGUCCAGCUAAGACUCCAGCCUCCCAAUGCAGGGCACCUGGGACCUGGGUUUGAUUCCUGAUCAGGGAACUAGAUACCACAUGCCACAAGUAAGA
Bubalus bubalis (water buffalo) is the source of this 611-nucleotide long non-coding RNA. RefSeq lists it as uncharacterized. Lineage: Eukaryota; Metazoa; Chordata; Mammalia; Artiodactyla; Bovidae. The transcript is spliced from 3 exons. The record is from RefSeq and is a predicted model, not a curated record.